This 253-nucleotide ribosomal RNA is filed under the name uncultured bacterium. RNAcentral describes it as "partial 16S ribosomal RNA". It matches the Rfam family "Bacterial small subunit ribosomal RNA", at positions 524 to 776 of the family's 1533-position model. The record is from RNAcentral.
UACAGAGGGUGCAAGCGUUGUUCGGAAUUAUUGGGCGUAAAGCGCGUGUAGGCGGCUUUGCAAGUCGGGUGUGAAAUCCCACGGCUCACCCGUGGAACUGCUCGGUAUACUGGGUCGCUUGAGCCACUUAGGGGCUACCGGAACAAAUGGUGGAGCGGUGAAAUGCGUAGAUAUCAUUUGGAACGCCAAUGGUGAAAACAGGUAGCUGGGAGUGUGCUGACGCUGAGACACGAAAGCCAGGGGAGCAAACGGG